GCCAGUGUGGCGUAACGGUUUCAGUGUCAGACUACGACUCUGGAGACCAGGGUUCGGUUCUUUGCUCAGCCA
Non-coding RNA from Phrynosoma platyrhinos (Desert horned lizard), 72 nucleotides. The record is from the annotation of a GenBank genome assembly. Lineage: Eukaryota; Metazoa; Chordata; Lepidosauria; Squamata; Phrynosomatidae.